Molecule: long non-coding RNA, 1038 nt
Organism: Brachypodium distachyon (stiff brome)
Lineage: Eukaryota; Viridiplantae; Streptophyta; Magnoliopsida; Poales; Poaceae
Exons: 5
Source: RefSeq, a predicted model, not a curated record
GGGUACUGUUUAGAUGUGACCGGAUGGCAGGGCUCUGCCUUGGCCCCUGCGGCCUUGUCCAUGUGAGCCACCGAAGGGGUGAGAGAAAGAGAGACCGAGCCAAUUAAAAAGAUCUCCAGUUCUUCUUCCUCAUGCUCGCGGCCGGUUCCAGUUUUUGAAAUCUGUAAUUUCUCCAUUGGCGGAGUUUGGUGACCUCUGCAAAUUAUACGAUCGGCUCGCGUAAUGGAUGAACCCACAAGCGCUGCUCCGCCUGCUCCAUGCGCUAACAGGAACGCAGGACGAAGAAUUUGAGGAAGCGAUGUACCACAAUGUGCUGACGAAGCUUCGGUUGAAGAGUGGCUUCCAUCGACAUCGAAAGAGAGCGGGCCAUCUGUGUCUUCUCGAAGGUAUAUCUUCUUCAUAGGAAUAUUAUCAGAAGUUUUGAGCCCUGAUUGAUAACAAAAGUUUGUUCUGAAGGUGAGUUGCACAAUCUCGAUACUACGAAUGAGCCUGAGGCUCCUAUCUUUGACAAGACACCUCAAUGCAUCACAAAUUUUUUUAUUAACUUUGCUGAGAACGGCAGUGAUAAGAAGAUAGCAGCGGGGCGAACCUGAUGGCGCCAUAGGAGAGAAAGAUGCAUCAGAAUCUUCGGUUGAGGCCUUAGGGGUGAAGGUGUACCAGAGAAGGAAGUUGUCCAGGAAAACAUACAACAUAGUACUUAGAAAGGCCGAAGAAGGUACUGCUGCCCUGAUAAGUGAAGGAGCAAGUACUUUUUAGAAGAAAGGCCAAGAUCAUAUAUUCUUCAUGCAUAAUGGGUGCAGGAAUGUCUUUAAUUUAAGCAGAGUUAAGAAUGGAUGUUGCGAAACUGAGGCCGAGAUCUUAUUUUGUUGUAAUGAUGGUACUAUAUGGCAGUUCAGUACUUUGGCUAAAUUGUGAACUGUAAUGAAGCCAGUGUGCACUUUAAUUGUUCGUCCGAGGUCCAUAAUGUGUCAUACAUUUGUAUGGAUGUUAUUUCAGAUGCCCUUUGAGAACUAUAUGAUUGUUCGAUAAUUAGCAUAA